Molecule: ribosomal RNA, 79 nt
Filed under: uncultured Meliniomyces
Lineage: Eukaryota; Fungi; Ascomycota; Leotiomycetes; Helotiales; Helotiaceae
Description: partial 28S ribosomal RNA
Source: RNAcentral
UAGUAAUUUCUCUCGCUAUAGGGUUCCGGUGGUUACUUGCCAAAACCCCCCAUUUUCUAGGUGACCUCGGAUCAGGUAG